RNAcentral lists this ribosomal RNA (212 nucleotides) under Candidatus Carsonella ruddii. RNAcentral's name for it is "partial 16S ribosomal RNA". It matches the Rfam family "Bacterial small subunit ribosomal RNA", at positions 1271 to 1498 of the family's 1533-position model. Lineage: Bacteria; Pseudomonadati; Pseudomonadota; Gammaproteobacteria; Oceanospirillales; Halomonadaceae. The record is from RNAcentral.
AUCUUAUAAAAUUACUCUUAGUUCGGAUUAAAAUCUGCAACUCGAUUUUAUGAAGUAGGAAUCGCUAGUAAUCGUAAAUCAGAAUGUUACGGUGAAUACGUUCUCGAGCCUUGUACACACCGCCCGUCACACCAUGGAAGUAAAUUGUAUCAUAAGUAAUUUUGUUAUUAUUAAGGUAUGAUUUGUAACUGGGGUGAAGUCGUAACAAGGUA